UGCAUUUGGAAAGAUUAAUUGAUUAGGGAUAGUCAGCAUGGCUUUGUGCAUGGGCAAUCGUGUCUCAUGCAUUUGAUUGAGUUUUUUGAAGACGUAAUGAAGGUCAAGGAGGGAUAGGUGGUAGGCAUAGCCUAUAUGGACUUCAGCAAGUUCUUGUAAGGUUCCACAUGGUAGGCUAUUGGAUCCAGAGACUGCUAACUAAUUGAGCACAUAAUUGGCUUGAUGAUAAUUGAAGCGGAGGCAUAUAACACGUGGUGUGCCUUAGGGUCAGUGCUCGCCCUAUUAUUGUAUGUUAGCGAUGAGAUGAGAAUGUACAAGACAUGAUUAGUAAGUUUGCAGAUGACACUAAAAUAGGUUGUAUCAAAGAUUGUUAUCAAAAAUUGUGGCAGGAUUUUGAUCAAUAGACAAUAGGUGCAGGAGUAGGCCAUUCGGCCCUUCGAGCCAGCACCGCCAUUCAAUGUGAUCAUGGCUGAUCAUCCCCAAUCAGUACCCUGUUCCUGCCUUCUCCCCAUAUCCCCUGACUCCGCUAUUUUUAAGAGCCCUAUCUAGCUCUCUCUUGAAAGCAUCCAGAGAACCUGCCUCCACCGCCCUCUGAGGCAGAGAAUUCCACAGACUCACCACUGUCUGUGAGAAAAAGUGUUUCCUCGUCUCUGUUCUAAAUGGCUUACUCCUUAUUCCUAAACUGUGGGCCCUGGCUCUGGAGCCAACUGGUUCAGUUGGCUAACGAACGGAAAAUGGGUUUAACUCAGAUAAGUGCAAGCUGUUGCACUUUUGGUAGUCAAACUAGGAUAGAACGUUCACAGAUAAUAGUAGGGCCAUGGUGAGUGAUGUACAAACAGAGGGACAUUGGAGUACAAAUAGUUUCCUGAAGGUGGUAUCACAGGUAAAUGGGGUGAAGAGCAUUGGGUACAGGAGUUUGGAUGGUAUGUUGCAGUUUUUGCACUUGGUGUUGUAGGAAAGAUACUAUUAAGCUGGAACAGUGUGGAAGAGAUUUGGAAGGAUGUUGCCAGAACUCAAGUAGAGAAAGUUUGGGGAAGCUGUAACUUUAUACCUAAGUGCGUAGCAUAGACAGGAUGAAAGCAAGCCUGUCUCGCAGGGAUGGGGAAUCAGGGACUAAAGAGCAUCAACUUAAGGUGAGAGAACAAUUUAAUAGGAACCUGAGAGGCAACCUUUAUUCACAGAGUGAUAUGUACUGUGUAUAAAACAAUCUGCUAGAGAAAGUGGUUGAGGCAGUUACAGUAACAUUUAAAAGACAUUUGGACAGGUACAUGCAUAGGAAAGGUUUAGCGGGCCAAAUGCUGAAAAAUGCAUGGCUAAUGCAUGGAUGCUGAAGGGCCUGUUUCUGUGCUGUACGAUUCUGAUUGUUGGUGAUUUCUGACAGAAGAGGCUUCACUAAUGCCACAUCUGGGACCAGCUGUUAUUUUCACGAUGGUAUGCUCAAGCAAGAUCAAACAACUCUCAUUGUUUGUGAAUAGGAAACGUCUUCUUCUUUAGCCCUUUGCUCCUGUAGGGAGCAUAGGGCAUUGACAAAUGUCCUUCACCUCACUAGGUUAUUGGCAGUUCUUUCGAGAUCUCCCCAGUUGAGCCCACUCAGACAUUUCUGUCUGGACACCUCUUCUCCAGCUGUUCCUGGGGCGACCUAUUUUUCUUUUUCCUUGAGGGUUCCAUUUUAAGGCUUGCCGGAUGAUGUUUGUGGCAGGUUUCCCGAGGAUGUGUCCAAUCCAACUCCAUUUCCUCCUUCAAAUUUGUAAGUCAAUGGGCUCCUGGCUUGUUCUUUUCCACAGAUCCACAUUGCUAACUUUGUCUCUCCACCAGAUGUUAGCCUUUCUAGCGUCCUUUGUCAUCAUGAUUGCCACUCCCUCUGUAUGCUUCGCUCCCUCCUCUUCCUGUCCGGAGUAGAUAAUGGACUGCCCGCUGACCAAUUUGAUCUCCCCUGACUGUGUCCAUCUUGUUUUAGCCAAGCCCAGGACUAAGAGAUUGUAGCGCAGCAUUUCGUUGACAAUUGUGGCAGCCUUGCCAGCCUGGAACAUGGUUCGGAUGUUCCAUGUCCCCACAAGAAUGGAUUUCUUUGGCGUCAGUAGGUAUGUCAGCUUCCCAGCGCCCUUGUGGGUUUGGCUGGGAAACAUCAUGUUCCCCAUCGCUGGGGCACCUUUUUCCAACCAAGUGUGUAAUUUGGUUUUCAUUCGUCAAUGUUUCUGUAACUCGCACCUUUUUCCAGGAUGGGGUAGUUAACCCCACGCCCAACCCCCAACCUGGAGGACCAGGGACUGCUUAGUCUGCCCCCUCACCCGAGACCUGUCCAGUUCGGUUAAACCUGCCAGGGAUAUGAAACCCAUCCGACAUAGCUCUCAGGAUCACUGGAGUACACAAGCCUCUCCUCCACGUCAAGGUUUCAAUCCAGGAGAGGGAAUAGGAAACUGGGCCAACUUAAUCUAUUGUGUUUUAAUAUUGUCAAAUACCUACCUUUCAAAUCUGAGGCAAAAGUACGCACUUCCUGUCCAUUAAUGUUUUAUAACUCUCCUUGGCUUCUGCAUCAAAGUUACUAGGCAGGCGGAAUCUUCCACUACUCCCAGUGCACCUCUUUAUGGAAAUUUAGUGCUAAAAUCUGAGUUAUGCUAUCUAAUGUCAUCAUGGCCAUUUAUUCCCCCACUUUGGAACCCCAGUCUGUCCAGAGAUCAUUGCAAAAAGCUCAUUAAUUUUCCAAAUUAUUUCCAUGAAAGGCUGGCAUUAAUAAAGCCUAUGCUUUUUUGUAUUAUGGUUAAUUAUAAUUCCCUCUACAUAUGAUACCCAUACACAUUUUGAAUUUAAAUUAUGCAUGAUCAUAUCCUGUUAGAUCUUGUUUUGUCUCAACUAAACUCAAUCUUAUCUAUACACUUUUACCAACACACCCUCUCUUAAGUAAUAUGUCCAUCGAUGCCCACUAAUUUAAAUUUACUUUUGCCUGUUUGUGCAUUUACACUGUGUGAAAUAAAAUACAAUACACUUAUUUCUACAUCCCUACCCAAAUACACUUAUUCUCUCCCCCAGCCUAAAAACAUUAAUUUUGCAUUCUAACUUCAUCUUCAAUUACACUUAUCACACUAUCAACCAUCUUUUAAACCUACAUAUAAAUUCACUGUAUUUUCUUUGGAAAUCUCAGACUAAAUUGUCUGGUUGUUGCCACCAUUUAUAUUUCGUAGGAAGGGGCUGGAUGUAUUCUUGUUCCAAUUUUCCUGCAAAUUUUAAUCUUUCCGACCAUAUUGGGCUAGUUACUUUUCCCAGCUGCCUUCAACCCAAGUUCUCUUUACCUUUCAUGCAGGGCUUUUGUCAACGUUGCUACAUAUUUUUAAAGCACCUACUGCACGCAUUCAUUAAACUUUUGGGUGUGGUUGUGGGUAAAGUGUGCCUUGGCAAACAGCCUUUGAUAGAGUUCCAAGUCAGAAAAAACAUGGUUUGAGGUUUUUGCAUUCCUUAUCCAUUACUUGGCAAUAUAGAGUAUGAACCUGGAGAACUGUUAAUAAAAACAUAGAAAGCAACAUGCCUUGCAUGCUUAAUGCUUUGAUAUUUGUUUUGUUCUUUCUGGAAUACAACACAGCCUCUAAACAUUACAUACCUCAAUAGCUCUCGCUGGUGAAUGAAUGUAUUACUUUUUUUUCAAAUCAAACGUGUCUGUUUAAAAAUUCAAAACUAUCUUAACUGGAACUAUGUAUGUAGAGUGAUUUCCAAUAAACUUUCUUGAAUUGCUUCCCAGUGAUUCUUAUUUUAAGGUCAAUAGCACUAAGUAAGCAAUUUGAGGAGGAGAAAAAUAAAUUAUACCAAUUAAUCUGGUGAAAUAAAUCUUUUCUUUUUUUUUUUUUUUUUUAAACUGGAUUUACAGCAGCCUCAGUUCACUCCAAUCAUGCUUCUUCCUUUAUUGACAAGCCUAUUGAUUAUAAUCAUUAAUUUCAAAAUGGGUUGGGUGUAGAAUAGGGAAACGUGCAUGUUAUGUGAUUGUAGCUAACUAAUAUGACUUACCAUAUCUCCCUGUUGCUCCUGAACGGUUUAGGGUUAUAAAAUCUGAAGAAGGUUCUCCACCCGAAAUGUCACCCAUUCCUUCUCUCCAGAGAUGCUGCCUGACCCGCUGAGUUAUUCCAGCAUUUUGUGUCUACCUAGAGUUAUAAUGAUCUGCCCUUUGCUUUCAAGAAAUGUGGACACUUUUGCACUCAACUAAUGACAACCGAUGAACCAAAAUGUUAUUGUUAAAUAUUAGAAAUUAUAUUUUACAUAAAAUUUACAAAAUAACUGAAAUUUGCUUUUACAUGGUGGGAUAGAACAACUUUUGUUUAUCACAUUCCUUAAAUCAGCAUUUUCAGUAGUAUUCGCAACAGUUUAGGCACAUACUGGUAAGUGUACAGUUUAACUAGGAGGAAAACUAAGGCACAUGGAAAUGUGUGAUGUAAGGUAUGUUCACAUUUCUUCAAGUACUGCAGUAAAUACUAAUGCAUACUUGUUUUAAAAAAAAUAAACAAACUCAAGAACCAUCAAUAGCUUUUUAUAAAAGGCUAUUCUAUCAUGCCAUCAUGAGCUCUACAGCACUUGUUUAAAAAUAAUUAAAUCGGAGUACAAACAGCUCUUAAAUGGAUUAGCUCUUAAGUGGUUCCUAAAUACUUGCUGCAUCAAAAGAUCACUACUAAAUUCACAUUAAAAAAAGUUCAAGCAUUUUUCAAUGUAUUUACAUACUUGUCAGACGAGAAAUGUUGCCAAAGGCAGUAGUUGCCAUUUAUAUAGUUACUUCAAAAUGAGUUUAAAACACAGUUCUAAUGAUACACCAUACAGAUUCAUAAAUAGCAAACUUAAAGCUACUGACAGUGGUACACCAGAAAACAAAUGUCAUGGUAAUGAAGUGAUGUCGUGAAAUUGUCCCUGGCAUAUUGGCCUUGGCCAUGUCUAGUCCAUCCCAGCAGAGGCCCAUCAGAUCCUCAUCCUGGAAUAGCAUGUGUCAAGAGCAAAGUAAAAUAAACCCAAUUAAUUCUGCUCUGCAACAAAUCAAGAAAAAGUGUAGCAGGCAGA
Molecule: long non-coding RNA, 5028 nt
Organism: Leucoraja erinaceus (little skate)
Lineage: Eukaryota; Metazoa; Chordata; Chondrichthyes; Rajiformes; Rajidae
Exons: 2
Source: RefSeq, a predicted model, not a curated record